Molecule: ribosomal RNA, 253 nt
Filed under: uncultured bacterium
Lineage: Bacteria
Description: partial 16S ribosomal RNA
Rfam family: Bacterial small subunit ribosomal RNA
Source: RNAcentral
UACAGAGGGUGCGAGCGUUAAUCGGAAUUACUGGGCGUAAAGGGUGCGUAGGUGGUUGAAUAAGUUAGGUGUGAAAGUCCUGGGCUUAACCUGGGGAUUGCGCCUAAUACUGUUUUACUAGAGUACUGUAGAGGAAGGUGGAAUUUCCGGUGUAGCGGUGAAAUGCGUAGAUAUCGGAAGGAACACCAGUGGCGAAGGCGACCUUCUGGACAGUGACUGACACUGAGGCACGAAAGCAUGGGUAGCAAACAGG